GGGAGCACAGGUUCCUGGGCUGUGUCCCCGGUGCCUUGGGAUCCAGGGUCUGCACUGCUGGAGUCACGCUCCCAGGCCACAGCUCCC
Molecule: microRNA precursor, 87 nt
Filed under: Canis lupus familiaris (dog)
Lineage: Eukaryota; Metazoa; Chordata; Mammalia; Carnivora; Canidae
Also listed under: 1 other name
Description: mir-8799 microRNA precursor family
Rfam family: mir-8799 microRNA precursor family
Source: Rfam by way of RNAcentral